UGCGAGCGUUAAUCGGAUUUACUGGGCGUAAAGCGUGCGUAGGCGGCUUUUUAAGUCGGAUGUGAAAUCCCUGAGCUUAACUUAGGAAUUGCAUUCGAUACUGGAGAGCUAGAGUAUGGGAGAGGAUGGUAGAAUUCCAGGUGUAGCGGUGAAAUGCGUAGAGAUCUGGAGGAAUACCGAUGGCGAAGGCAGCCAUCUGGCCUAAUACUGACGCUGAGGUACGAAAGCAUGGGGAGCAAACAGGAUUAGAUACCCUGGUAGUCCAUGCCGUAAACGAUGUCUACUAGCCGUUGGGGCCUUUGAGGCUUUAGUGGCGCAGCUAACGCGAUAAGUAGACCGCCUGGGGAGUACGGUCGCAAGACUAAAACUCAAAUGAAUUGACGGGGGCCCGCACAAGCGGUGGAGCAUGUGGUUUAAUUCGAUGCAACGCGAAGAACCUUACCUGGCCUUGACAUACUAAGAACUUUCCAGAGAUGGAUUGGUGCCUUCGGGAACUUAGAUACAGGUGCUGCAUGGCUGUCGUCAGCUCGUGUCGUGAGAUGUUGGGUUAAGUCCCGCAACGAGCGCAACCCUUUUCCUUAUUUGCCAGCGGGUCAUGCCGGGAACUUUAAGGAUACUGCCAGUGACAAACUGGAGGAAGGCGGGGACGACGUCAAGUCAUCAUGGCCCUUACGGCCAGGGCUACACACGUGCUACAAUGGUCGGUACAAAGGGUUGCUACCUCGCGAGAGGAUGCUAAUCUCAAAAAGCCGAUCGUAGUCCGGAUCGCAGUCUGCAACUCGACUGCGUGAAGUCGGAAUCGCUAGU
This 807-nucleotide ribosomal RNA is filed under the name Acinetobacter schindleri. RNAcentral describes it as "bacterial SSU rRNA". It matches the Rfam family "Bacterial small subunit ribosomal RNA", at positions 533 to 1339 of the family's 1533-position model. Lineage: Bacteria; Pseudomonadati; Pseudomonadota; Gammaproteobacteria; Moraxellales; Moraxellaceae. The record is from RNAcentral.